AGCGAACGUUAGCGGCGCGCCUAACACAUGCAAGUCGCACGAGAAACGGAGCAAUCCGCGGUACAGUGGCGCACGGGUGAGUAACACGUGGAUGACCUUCCCUGGAGUGGUGGAUAACCUGCCGAAAGGCGGGCUAAUACAGCAUAGGACCACGACGCUUUGGCGAUGUGGUGAAAGCGGGCCUCUAUAUAUAAGCUCGCGCUCCGGGACGGGUCCGCGUCCCAUCAGCUAGUUGGUGAGGUAACGGCUCACCAAGGCGACGACGGGUAGCUGGUCUGAGAGGAUGGCCAGCCACACUGGAACUGAGACACGGUCCAGACUCCUACGGGAGGCAGCAGUGGGGAAUCUUGCGCAAUGGGCGAAAGCCUGACGCAGCGACGCCGCGUGGGCGAAGAAGGCCUCGG
RNAcentral lists this ribosomal RNA (404 nucleotides) under uncultured bacterium. RNAcentral describes it as "bacterial SSU rRNA". It matches the Rfam family "Bacterial small subunit ribosomal RNA", at positions 30 to 420 of the family's 1533-position model. The record is from RNAcentral.